RNAcentral lists this ribosomal RNA (467 nucleotides) under uncultured bacterium. RNAcentral's name for it is "partial 16S ribosomal RNA". It matches the Rfam family "Bacterial small subunit ribosomal RNA", at positions 28 to 507 of the family's 1533-position model. The record is from RNAcentral.
GACGAACGCUGGCGGCGUGCUUAACACAUGCAAGUCGAACGAUGACGACCGAGCUUGCUCGGUCUGAUUAGUGGCGAACGGGUGAGUAACACGUGAGCAACCUGCCCUUCACUCUGGGAUAACCUCGGGAAAUCGGGGCUAAUACCGGAUAUGAGCUCCUGUCGCAUGGCGGGUGUUGGAAAGUUUUUCGGUGAAGGAUGGGCUCGCGGCCUAUCAGUUUGUUGGUGAGGUAGUGGCUCACCAAGGCGAUGACGGGUAGCCGGCCUGAGAGGGCGACCGGCCACACUGGGACUGAGACACGGACCAGACUCCUACGGGAGGCAGCAGUGGGGAAUAUUGCACAAUGGGCGAAAGCCUGAUGAAGAGACGCCGCGUGAGGGAUGCCGGCCUUCGGGUUGUAAACCUCUUUCAGCAGGGAAGAAGCGAAAGUGACGGUACCUGAAGAAGAAGCGCCGGCUAACUACGUG